ACCUCGAUGUCGGCUCAUCACAUCCUGGGGCUGAAGUAGGUCCCAAGGGUAUGGCUGUUCGCCAUUUAAAGUGGUACGCGAGCUGGGUUUAGAACGUCGUGAGACAGUUCGGUCCCUAUCUGCCGUGGGCGCUGGAGAAUUGAGGGGGGCUGCUCCUAGUACGAGAGGACCGGAGUGGACGCAUCACUGGUGUUCGGGUUGUCAUGCCAAUGGCACUGCCCGGUAGCUAAAUGCGGAAGAGAUAAGUGCUGAAAGCAUCUAAGCACGAAACUUGCCCCGAGAUGAGUUCUCCCUGAGACUAUAAGUCUCCUGAAGGAACGUUAAAGACGAUGACGUUGAUAGGCCGGGUGUGUAAGCGCAGCGAUGCGUUGAGCUAACCGGUACUAAUGAACCGUGAGGCUUAACCUUACAACGCCGAAG
RNAcentral lists this ribosomal RNA (420 nucleotides) under Klebsiella pneumoniae. RNAcentral describes it as "partial 23S ribosomal RNA". It matches the Rfam family "Bacterial large subunit ribosomal RNA", at positions 2523 to 2925 of the family's 2925-position model. Lineage: Bacteria; Pseudomonadati; Pseudomonadota; Gammaproteobacteria; Enterobacterales; Enterobacteriaceae. The record is from RNAcentral.